Long non-coding RNA from Micropterus dolomieu (smallmouth bass), 649 nucleotides. RefSeq lists it as uncharacterized. The record is from RefSeq and is a predicted model, not a curated record. NCBI's taxonomy places the organism in Eukaryota, Metazoa, Chordata, Actinopteri, Centrarchiformes, Centrarchidae. The transcript has 3 exons.
AUCGCCAUUCACACAGUGUUUCCAAGCCUGGUGAAGAUUGGUCGUGUUCUUGUCGAGUGUGUAGGCCUUGAAUGCAUCCCUGCGCUUGUUCAAAGUGCCUGGCCGCACUGCGCCGCCCUUGGGCCUCCUCCUGCCUGUAGCUCCUUGCUCUGCAGAGGGAUGCAGUGAUCCUCCUGCGGCCCUGAACCACAGCCAGGUCGUCUCUGAACUGCUGCCCGAAAAAUACAUUUCCCACAGCUACUCGUGAAGCUCUUCGCCGCCAUCUUUUACCCUCUGGGUCAGCCGGCGUUGUCACAUGUACAUGAGCUUCUCUGUUGUACAAAGGAUAAAGCUGUUGUUAAAGUUUCAGCUUAUAGCAACUCUCAUAACUAAUUCAUCAAAGCUAAGGAGGGCUGUAGAUAUGGUGUCAUUACACACAUUUUUGCCUGAUGGUGUUUUUGUAUCUUGUGAUUUAAUAAGUUAGGCUGGGGUGAACUGCUAUUCUUGUUGACUGUCAGAUUGUCUGUUUUCAUGCUGUAUACAUCUGCAACAUUUAGUGGAGAUCCAAAAGUAAAGUUUGGAUAUCAAAUGUAAUGCUUUUAAUCAAAUUGUAUGUUAUUAUUCACCUUUAAUGUAUUUAUUUUGUGUCAUGUUGCGCAAAUAUAAUAAA